CCUAGGGGAGCCCAACCACGGCUGAGAUUCUGCAUUGACUGCAGUAACCCUUCGAACCUGAUCCGGGUAAUGCCGACGAAGGGAAGGAAAA
Molecule: non-coding RNA, 91 nt
Filed under: uncultured Pseudomonas sp.
Lineage: Bacteria; Pseudomonadati; Pseudomonadota; Gammaproteobacteria; Pseudomonadales; Pseudomonadaceae
Description: TPP riboswitch (THI element)
Rfam family: TPP riboswitch aptamer (THI element)
About the family: Vitamin B(1) in its active form thiamin pyrophosphate (TPP) is an essential coenzyme that is synthesised by coupling of pyrimidine and thiazole moieties in bacteria.
Source: RNAcentral